GAUGAACGCUGGCGGCGUGCCUAAUACAUGCAAGUCGAGCGAACAGACGAGGAGCUUGCUCCUCUGACGUUAGCGGCGGACGGGUGAGUAACACGUGGAUAACCUACCUAUAAGACUGGGAUAACUUCGGGAAACCGGAGCUAAUACCGGAUAAUAUAUUGAACCGCAUGGUUCAAUAGUGAAAGACGGUUUUGCUGUCACUUAUAGAUGGAUCCGCGCCGCAUUAGCUAGUUGGUAAGGUAACGGCUUACCAAGGCAACGAUGCGUAGCCGACCUGAGAGGGUGAUCGGCCACACUGGAACUGAGACACGGUCCAGACUCCGACGGGAGGCAGCAGUAGGGAAGCUUCCGCAAUGGGCGAAAGCUUGACGGAGCAACGCCGCGUGAGUGAUGAAGGUCUUCGGAUCGUAAAACUCUGUUAUUAGGGAAGAACAAAUGUGUAAGUAACUAUGCACGUCUUGACGGUACCUAAUCAGAAAGCCACGGCUAACUACGUG
Molecule: ribosomal RNA, 497 nt
Filed under: uncultured bacterium
Lineage: Bacteria
Description: partial 16S ribosomal RNA
Rfam family: Bacterial small subunit ribosomal RNA
Source: RNAcentral